GGAGCUGCUACCCCUGGGGAGAGAGAGGAGCUGCUACCCCUGGGGAGAGAGGAGUUGCAACCAGGAGAGACUGUGACCCUGCUCGGGAAGAGCUUAACGAUUGGUGAUUGUUGGGGCACGAUUGGCAGGAGCUUCAGUGAUGAAGACUGCUGAACUUGCUGAUGUUUCACAAUAUGCCACGGCCGUCUCAGUCACCAGGUCUCAACACAACUGAACACAACCAUCCCUCCAAUAGACUUCCAGACAGUUGUAGAAUGUUUGCCAAGGCACAUUGUAAGAGCUGUAAAGAGAGAGGGACUCGGAGAGAGAACAGGUAGAACCUGAUAUGUAAAUGAGCAGAGCAAACGAAAGCAACUUUCAACGACCGAAUGAUCAUUACAGACUCUGUUUCUAUUGAGAGAUAAAAGGCUGGUUGAAUGAGUUGCCUGUGAAAGCUACUUCAUCUGCAAGCAAACAGGCGGCUGCACCAGUGACUGUCAGAAGUUUUGUGAUUUCCUCAUAUGAACGUGAAAGGGUCAGUGCUCUAAAAUGAGUCUCUCUGGGGAGAGAGAGGAGGGGGGCCCUGCCUCUAAAAUGCGUCUCUCUGGGGGACAUGACACCAAAGCUAAGAGGUAAGAUGACAAUUUUAUGAAGAAUUUAUUAAGUUUAUUUCCAAAAUAAAUAGCUAUCUUAAGAUGAAUGCAGUUACUGUAAAUCACUCUGGAUAAGAGCAUCUGCUAAAUCAGGGGUUCUCAAUCCGGGGUCUGUGGAGGUACUGCAGGGGCUCCACGGCACCGACUGUACUCGUUGCAAUGUAAGACAUUUGAUAGAAUUUUCACAUGACACGACCACUUUGCCUACUCUUAAAUUAUUGCUAAUAUAAUGAAAUGCAUAUAUUUUUUUAACAAAUUCUUAUACUUUUUCAAGCAGAAUUUUGACAAUAUUAUCGUUAUAUCAACACACUCUUCACACCCGUUUAACAACUCUAAAUUCAAACCAGCCACCUUUCGGCGACAGGUCCAACUCCUUAGCCGCUGGGCGAAAACCUGAGUUAAUCUUCAGAAAUUAAUAGCAUGAGUUAAUCUGCCCAAAUGAAGACAAAAUGCUUUGGAGACAUACAUGGUAUCACUUGUUACACAUAAUUAUUAUACAUAAAUCAUUGUCAAAAGCACAAGACAUACUGUUGCAUGUAGGUCUAUUUAAUUUAUGGAUUGAU
Salmo salar (Atlantic salmon) is the source of this 1195-nucleotide non-coding RNA. The record is from RefSeq and is a predicted model, not a curated record. NCBI's taxonomy places the organism in Eukaryota, Metazoa, Chordata, Actinopteri, Salmoniformes, Salmonidae.